This 262-nucleotide ribosomal RNA is filed under the name uncultured archaeon. Its description in RNAcentral is "partial 16S ribosomal RNA". It matches the Rfam family "Archaeal small subunit ribosomal RNA", at positions 748 to 1009 of the family's 1478-position model. The record is from RNAcentral.
CAGCCGUAAACAAUGUGCGUUAGGUGUGUCGGUAACCACGUGUUACUGAUGCGCCGAAGAGAAAUCGUGAAACGCACCACCUGGGAAGUACGGUCGCAAGGCUGAAACUUAAAGGAAUUGGCGGGGGAGCACCACAACAGGUGGAGCCUGCGGUUUAAUUGGAUUCAACACCGUAAAACUCACCAGGGAAGACUGUUACAUGAAGGCCGAGAUGAAGACUCUGCUAGAUUUUUCAGAGAGGAGGUGCAUGGCGUAGACGUCU